CCCGUCACCGGUGAUCGUCAUCGGUAUAGGUAACAACAACAACAACAUCAACAACUAUCGUAAUAAUAACAGAGCAAUAACGACAGUAAUAAACAGUCAACCUGUCAAAAAUGUAUUUGUAUAAACUACGGCUUUAAUAGUUUCACGGAAAUUAUUCAAUUUUUACUCGGGCACCAAACAGGAGGUCUUUCAAGUUUAAAAAUCUGAAGAAAUCAUUCAAUGCAAUAACUACUUUAAAGAUCUUGUAUACGACAAAGACCAAGACUAGUCAAGAUCAAUAAGUCAUAUACUCACACUGAUAAGUAACAAUACUAAUAUUUAAAAAGUUAAAUUUUUGUUGUUUUUUUUGCAUAUUUUUGA
This is a long non-coding RNA of Sipha flava (yellow sugarcane aphid), 360 nucleotides long. RefSeq lists it as uncharacterized. The record is from RefSeq and is a predicted model, not a curated record. NCBI's taxonomy places the organism in Eukaryota, Metazoa, Arthropoda, Insecta, Hemiptera, Aphididae. The transcript is spliced from 3 exons.